UUACAAUGUAGAGUUUGAUCCUGGCUCAGGAUGAACGCUAGCUACAGGCUUAACACAUGCAAGUCGCGGGGCAUCAUGGAGGUUGUUUUCAACUUUUGAUGGCGACCGGCGCACGGGUGAGUAACGCGUAUCCAACCUUCCCAUUACUACGGCAUACCCCGUUGAAAGGCGGCCUAAUUCCGUAUGCAGUCCGAAGCAGUCAUCUAAUUUGGACGAAAGGUAUAUUCUAUCGGUAAUGGAUGGGGAUGCGUCCGAUUAGCCAGCCGGCGGGGUAACGGCCCACCGGGGCAUCGAUCGGUAGGGGUUCUGAGAGGAAGGUCCCCCACACUGGAACUGAGACACGGUCCAGACUCCUACGGGAGGCAGCAGUGAGGAAUAUUGGUCAAUGGGCGUAAGCCUGAACCAGCCAAGUAGCGUGCAGGAUGACGGCCCUAUGGGUUGUAAACUGCUUUUAUGCGGGGAUAAAGUUGGGGACGUGUCCCUUUUUGCAGGUACCGCAUGAAUAAGGACCGGCUAAUUCCGUGCCAGCAGCCGCGGUAAUACGGAAGGUCCGGGCGUUAUCCGGAUUUAUUGGGUUUAAAGGGAGCGUAGGCAGUUUUUUAAGCGUGCUGUGAAAUGUACCGGCUCAACCGGUGAUGUGCAGCGCGAACUGGGAAUCUUGAGUACGCAGUAAGCAGGCGGAAUUCGUGGUGUAGCGGUGAAAUGCUUAGAUAUCACGAAGAACUCCGAUUGCGUAGGCAGCUUGCUGUAGCGUAACUGACGCUGAAGCUCGAAAGUGCGGGUAUCGAACAGGAUUAGAUACCCUGGUAGUCCGCACGGUAAACGAUGGAUGCCCGCUGUCGGCCUUUUUUGGUCGGUGGCCAAGCGAAAGCGUUAAGCAUCCCACCUGGGGAGUACGCCGGCAACGGUGAAACUCAAAGGAAUUGACGGGGGCCCGCACAAGCGGAGGAACAUGUGGUUUAAUUCGAUGAUACGCGAGGAACCUUACCCGGGCUUGAACUGCCAUUGACUUGAAUAGAGAUAUUCAUUCCCUUCGGGGCAUUGGUGGAGGUGCUGCAUGGUUGUCGUCAGCUCGUGCCGUGAGGUGUCGGCUUAAGUGCCAUAACGAGCGCAACCCCUUUUUUCAGUUGCCAUCGGUUAAAGCCGGGCACUCUGUGAAUACUGCCGCCGUAAGGUGUGAGGAAGGUGGGGAUGACGUCAAAUCAGCACGGCCCUUACGUCCGGGGCUACACACGUGUUACAAUGGCGCGUACAGCGAGUCGGCCGUAUGUAAAUGCGGUCCAAUCCUUAAAACGUGCCUCAGUUCGGACUGGGGUCUGCAACCCGACCCCACGAAGCUGGAUUCGCUAGUAAUCGCGCAUCAGCCAUGGCGCGGUGAAUACGUUCCCGGGCCUUGUACACACCGCCCGUCAAGCCAUGAAAGCCGGGGGUGCCUGAAGUCCGUGACCGCAAGGGUCGGCCUAAGGCAAUACUGGUAAUUGGGGCUAAGUCGUAACAAGGUAGCCGUACCGGAAGGUGCGGCUGGAACACCUCCUUUCU
RNAcentral lists this ribosomal RNA (1539 nucleotides) under Hoylesella oralis. RNAcentral describes it as "bacterial SSU rRNA". It matches the Rfam family "Bacterial small subunit ribosomal RNA". Lineage: Bacteria; Pseudomonadati; Bacteroidota; Bacteroidia; Bacteroidales; Prevotellaceae. The record is from RNAcentral.